RNAcentral lists this non-coding RNA (24 nucleotides) under Rattus norvegicus (Norway rat). The record is from RNAcentral. Lineage: Eukaryota; Metazoa; Chordata; Mammalia; Rodentia; Muridae.
UGGCAAAUGAAGAUGGCACACACA